Molecule: ribosomal RNA, 1056 nt
Filed under: marine bacterium AK6_033
Lineage: Bacteria
Description: bacterial SSU rRNA
Rfam family: Bacterial small subunit ribosomal RNA
Source: RNAcentral
GGCAGCACAGUAAGAGCUUGCUCUUAUGGGUGGCGAGUGGCGGACGGGUGAGGAAUACAUCGGAAUCUACUUUUUCGUGGGGGAUAACGUAGGGAAACUUACGCUAAUACCGCAUACGACCUUCGGGUGAAAGCAGGGGACCUUCGGGCCUUGCGCGAUUGAAUGAGCCGAUGUCGGAUUAGCUAGUUGGCGGGGUAAAGGCCCACCAAGGCGACGAUCCGUAGCUGGUCUGAGAGGAUGAUCAGCCACACUGGAACUGAGACACGGUCCAGACUCCUACGGGAGGCAGCAGUGGGGAAUAUUGGACAAUGGGCGCAAGCCUGAUCCAGCCAUACCGCGUGGGUGAAGAAGGCCUUCGGGUUGUAAAGCCCUUUUGUUGGGAAAGAAAAGCAGCGGGCUAAUACCUUGCUGUUCUGACGGUACCCAAAGAAUAAGCACCGGCUAACUUCGUGCCAGCAGCCGCGGUAAUACGAAGGGUGCAAGCGUUACUCGGAAUUACUGGGCGUAAAGCGUGCGUAGGUGGUUGUUUAAGUCUGUUGUGAAAGCCCUGGGCUCAACCUGGGAACUGCAGUGGAAACUGGAUGACUAGAGUGUGGUAGAGGGGUAGCGGAAUUCCCGGUGUAGCAGUGAAAUGCGUAGAGAUCGGGAGGAACAUCCAUGGCGAAGGCAGCUACCUGGACCAACACUGACACUGAGGCACGAAAGCGUGGGGAGCAAACAGGAUUAGAUACCCUGGUAGUCCACGCCCUAAACGAUGCGAACUGGAUGUUGGGUGCACUUUGGCACGCAGUAUCGAAGCUAACGCGUUAAGUUCGCCGCCUGGGGAGUACGGUCGCAAGACUGAAACUCAUAGGAAUUGACGGGGGCCCGCACAAGCGGUGGAGUAUUGUGGGUUUAAUUCGAUGCAACGCGAAGAACCUUACCUGGCCUUGACAUGUCGAGAACUUUCCAGAAAUGGAUUGGUGCCUUCGGGAACUCGAACACAGGUGCUGCAUGGCUGUCGUCAGCUCUUGUCCUGAGAUGUUGGGGUUAAGUCCCGCAACGAGCGCAACCCUU